GGAUUAGAUACCCUGGUAGUCCACGCCGUAAACGAUGUCAACUAGCCGUUGGGUUUCUUGUAAACUUAGUGGCGCAGCUAACGCGAUAAGUUGACCGCCUGGGGAGUACGGCCGCAAGGUUAAAACUCAAAUGAAUUGACGGGGGCCCGCACAAGCGGUGGAGCAUGUGGUUUAAUUCGAAGCAACGCGAAGAACCUUACCUACUCUUGACAUCCAGAGAACUUAGCAGAGAUGCUUUGGUGCCUUCGGGAACUCUGAGACAGGUGCUGCAUGGCUGUCGUCAGCUCGUGUUG
RNAcentral lists this ribosomal RNA (293 nucleotides) under uncultured bacterium. RNAcentral describes it as "partial 16S ribosomal RNA". It matches the Rfam family "Bacterial small subunit ribosomal RNA", at positions 775 to 1067 of the family's 1533-position model. The record is from RNAcentral.